UAGGGAAUUUUCGUUCAAUGGGCGCAAGCCUGAACGAGCAAUGCCGCGUGAACGAGGAAGGUCUUCGGAUCGUAAAGUUCUGUUGAAGGGGAAAAAGAGCGGAGAGAGGAAAUGGUCUCCGAUUGAUAUUACCCUUCGAGGAAGUCACGGCUAACUACGUGCCAGCAGCCGCGUAAUAGUGCGCU
This 185-nucleotide ribosomal RNA is filed under the name uncultured bacterium. Its description in RNAcentral is "partial 16S ribosomal RNA". It matches the Rfam family "Bacterial small subunit ribosomal RNA", at positions 355 to 529 of the family's 1533-position model. The record is from RNAcentral.